Molecule: ribosomal RNA, 411 nt
Filed under: Tabanus nigrovittatus
Lineage: Eukaryota; Metazoa; Arthropoda; Insecta; Diptera; Tabanidae
Description: SSU rRNA
Rfam family: Eukaryotic small subunit ribosomal RNA
Source: RNAcentral
CCGUUCUUAGUUCGUGGAGUGAUUUGUCUGGUUAAUUCCGAUAACGAACGAGACUCAAAUAUAUUAAAUAGAUGCUUUCAGGAUUAUGGUGUUUGAAACUCUACAUAACUUUCAUUCAUAUUAUUAGAAAUGGUAUUUUGUUUGAAUACGUUAUUGUAAAGUGGAAUCAUACCUGUUUGUUUGGCCCAUUAAAUACGGUUCACUUGCUUCUUAAAUGGACAAAUUGCGUCUAGCAAUAAUGAGAUUGAGCAAUAACAGGUCUGUGAUGCCCUUAGAUGUCCUGGGCUGCACGCGCGCUACGAAUGAAAGUAUCAACGUGUCUAUCCUAGACCGAGAGGUCUGGGUAAACCGGUGAAUCACUUUCAUGCUUGGGAUUGUGAACUGAAACUGUUCACAUGAACUUGGAAUUCC